GUAAUAGUUCAUAGAGCUUGAAC
This 23-nucleotide microRNA is filed under the name Dinoponera quadriceps. Its description in RNAcentral is "dqu-miR-6037-5p". Lineage: Eukaryota; Metazoa; Arthropoda; Insecta; Hymenoptera; Formicidae. The record is from miRBase by way of RNAcentral.